UACGAAGGGGGCUAGCGUUGCUCGGAAUCACUGGGCGUAAAGCGCACGUAGGCGGAUUGCUAAGUCAGGGGUGAAAUCCUGGAGCUCAACUCCAGAACUGCCUUUGAUACUGGCGACCUUGAGUCCGGGAGAGGUGAGUGGAACUGCGAGUGUAGAGGUGAAAUUCGUAGAUAUUCGCAAGAACACCAGUGGCGAAGGCGGCUCACUGGCCCGAUACUGACGCUGAGGCGCGAAAGCCAGGGUAGCGAACGGG
Molecule: ribosomal RNA, 253 nt
Filed under: uncultured bacterium
Lineage: Bacteria
Description: partial 16S ribosomal RNA
Rfam family: Bacterial small subunit ribosomal RNA
Source: RNAcentral